GACGUAGGGGGCGAGCGUUGUCCGGAAUUAUUGGGCGUAAAGCGCACGUAGGCGGCUUUGUAAGUUAGAGGUGAAAGCCCGAGGCUCAACUCCGGAACUGCCUUUAAGACUGCAUCGCUUGAAUCCAGGAGAGGUGAGUGGAAUUCCGAGUGUAGAGGUGAAAUUCGUAGAUAUUCGGAAGAACACCAGUGGCGAAGGCGGCUCACUGGACUGGUAUUGACGCUGAGGUGCGAAAGCGUGGGGAGCAAACAGG
RNAcentral lists this ribosomal RNA (253 nucleotides) under uncultured bacterium. RNAcentral's name for it is "partial 16S ribosomal RNA". It matches the Rfam family "Bacterial small subunit ribosomal RNA", at positions 524 to 776 of the family's 1533-position model. The record is from RNAcentral.